GACGAACGCUGGCGGCGUGCUUAACACAUGCAAGUCGAACGAGAAUCUACUGAAAGAGUUUUCGGACAAUGGAUGUAGAGGAAAGUGGCGGACGGGUGAGUAACGCGUGAGGAACCUGCCUUGAAGAGGGGGACAACAGUUGGAAACGACUGCUAAUACCGCAUGAAGCAUAGGGGUCGCAUGAUUCUUAUGCCAAAGAUUUAUCGCUUCAAGAUGGCCUCGCGUCUGAUUAGCUAGUUGGCGGGGUAACGGCCCACCAAGGCGACGAUCAGUAGCCGGAGUGACAGGUUGAACGGCCACAUUGGGACUGAGAUACGGCCCAGGCUCCUACGGGAGACAGCAGUGGGGAAUAUUGGGCAAUGGGCGCAAGCCUGACCCAGCAACGCCGCGUGAAGGGAGAAGGCUUUCGGGUUGUAAACUUCUUUUAAGAGGGAAGAGCAGAAGUCGGUACCUCUAGAAUAAGCCACGGCUAACUACGUGCCAGCCGCCGCCGUAA
RNAcentral lists this ribosomal RNA (496 nucleotides) under uncultured bacterium. RNAcentral describes it as "partial 16S ribosomal RNA". It matches the Rfam family "Bacterial small subunit ribosomal RNA", at positions 28 to 523 of the family's 1533-position model. The record is from RNAcentral.